RNAcentral lists this non-coding RNA (26 nucleotides) under Rattus norvegicus (Norway rat). The record is from RNAcentral. Lineage: Eukaryota; Metazoa; Chordata; Mammalia; Rodentia; Muridae.
UAUUAGGUUGAUCACCUCAUGGGAUG